RNAcentral lists this ribosomal RNA (221 nucleotides) under uncultured prokaryote. RNAcentral describes it as "partial 16S ribosomal RNA". It matches the Rfam family "Bacterial small subunit ribosomal RNA", at positions 524 to 744 of the family's 1533-position model. The record is from RNAcentral.
UACAGAGGGGGCAAGCGUUGUUCGGAAUUACUGGGCGUAAAGGGCGCGUAGGCGGCCUGUUAAGUCGAACGUGAAAUCCCCGGGCUCAACCCGGGAACUGCGUCCGAUACUGGCAGGCUUGAAUUCGGGAGAGGGAUGUGGAAUUCCAGGUGUAGCGGUGAAAUGCGUAGAUAUCUGGAGGAACACCGGUGGCGAAGGCGGGUUGCUGGGCUGACACUGAC